This 445-nucleotide ribosomal RNA is filed under the name uncultured bacterium. RNAcentral describes it as "bacterial SSU rRNA". It matches the Rfam family "Bacterial small subunit ribosomal RNA", at positions 354 to 796 of the family's 1533-position model. The record is from RNAcentral.
GUGAGGAAUAUUGGUCAAUGGACGGAAGUCUGAACCAGCCAUACCGCGUGCAGGAAUAAGGUCCUAUGGAUUGUAAACUGCUUUUAUUCGGGAAUAAACCUCUUUACGUGUAGGGAGCUGAAGGUACCGAAGGAAUAAGCACCGGCUAACUCCGUGCCAGCAGCCGCGGUAAUACGGAGGGUGCAAGCGUUAUCCGGAAUCAUUGGGUUUAAAGGGUCCGCAGGCGGGCUAUCAAGUCAGAGGUGAAAUCCCACAGCUUAACUGUGGAACUGCCUUUGAAACUGAUGGUCUUGAAUUAAGUGGGCGUUGGCGGAAUAUGACAUGUAGCGGUGAAAUGCAUAGAUAUGUCAUGGAACACCGAAAGCGAAGGCAGCUAACGAUACUUAUAUUGACGCUCAUGGACGAAAGCGUGGGUAGCGAACAGGAUUAGAAACCCUGGUAGUCC